RNAcentral lists this ribosomal RNA (492 nucleotides) under uncultured bacterium. Its description in RNAcentral is "partial 16S ribosomal RNA". It matches the Rfam family "Bacterial small subunit ribosomal RNA", at positions 29 to 507 of the family's 1533-position model. The record is from RNAcentral.
AGUGAACGCUGGCGGUAGGCCUAACACAUGCAAGUCGAACGGCAGCACAGUAAGAGCUUGCUCUUACGGGUGGCGAGUGGCGGACGGGUGAGGAAUACAUCGGAAUCUACUUUUUCGUGGGGGAUAACGUAGGGAAACUUACGCUAAUACCGCAUACGACCUACGGGUGAAAGCAGUGGAUCUUCGGACCUUGCGCGAUUGAAUGAGCCGAUGUCGGAUUAGCUAGUUGGCGGGGUAAAGGCCCACCAAGGCGACGAUCCGUAGCUGGUCUGAGAGGAUGAUCAGCCACACUGGAACUGAGACACGGUCCAGACUCCUACGGGAGGCAGCAGUGGGGAAUAUUGGGCAAUGGGCGCAAGCCUGAUCCAGCUAUACCGCGUGGGUGAAGAAGGCCUUCGGGUUGUAAAGCCCUUUUGUUGGGAAAGAAAAGCAGCAGGUUAAUACCCCGCUGUUCUGACGGUACCCAAAGAAUAAGCACCGGCUAACUUCGUG